UAUCUGCCGUGGGCGCUGGAGAACUGAGGGGGGCUGCUCCUAGUACGAGAGGACCGGAGUGGACGCAUCACUGGUGUUCGGGUUGUCAUGCCAAUGGCACUGCCCGGUAGCUAAAUGCGGAAGAGAUAAGUGCUGAAAGCAUCUAAGCACGAAACUUGCCCCGAGAUGAGUUCUCCCUGACCCUUUAAGGGUCCUGAAGGAACGUUGAAGACGACGACGUUGAUAGGCCGGGUGUGUAAGCGCAGCGAUGCGUUGAGCUAACCGGUACUAAUGAACCGUGAGGCUUAACCUUACAACGCCGAAGCUGUU
This 309-nucleotide ribosomal RNA is filed under the name Escherichia coli. Its description in RNAcentral is "partial 23S ribosomal RNA". It matches the Rfam family "Bacterial large subunit ribosomal RNA", at positions 2639 to 2925 of the family's 2925-position model. The record is from RNAcentral. Lineage: Bacteria; Pseudomonadati; Pseudomonadota; Gammaproteobacteria; Enterobacterales; Enterobacteriaceae.